GAUGAAGAACGUAUCGAAAUGCGAUACUUGGUGUGAAUUGCAGAAUCCCGUGAACCAUCGAGUCUUUGAACUCAAGUUGCGCCCGAAGCCAUUAGGCCGAGGGCACGCCUGCCUGGGCGUCACACGUCGUUGCCCCCCCAUCUACUCCUUCGGGAUUGCGGGGGGCGGAUGAUGGCCUCCCGUGCGCCUCGUCGCGCGGUUGGCCUAAAUGCCAAGUCCUCGGCGACGCACGCCACGACAAUCGGUGGUUGCGAAACCUCGGUUGCCUGUCGUGUGCGGUCGUCGCGCAUCGAGGGCUCGAAAAAAUUGCCGGGCUUCGGCUCGACUUUCAACGCGACCCCAGGUCAGGCGGGGUUACCCGCUGAAUUUAAGCAUAUCAAAAGCGGAGGA
This 390-nucleotide unclassified non-coding RNA is filed under the name soil metagenome. RNAcentral describes it as "partial contains 5.8S ribosomal RNA, internal transcribed spacer 2, and large subunit ribosomal RNA". The stretch from base 1 to 122 matches the Rfam family "5.8S ribosomal RNA", at positions 35 to 154 of the family's 154-position model. The record is from RNAcentral.